AAGUCGUAACAAGGUCUCCGUAGGUGAACCUGCGGAGGGAUCAUUAACACUAUUAAAUCUACUUUAUUAACCAAUUGUGAACUUAUUAUUUGGUGUGGGUUUGUUUCUUUUUUGAUUGUGGUCUGUUGAUUUAACUUUCAAUAAUUUUACAUUUAAUCCACAUCUAUGUUUUUUAUUAUUAAACCCUAAAUACAUACACUGAAAUGAAAAAUGAUAUUCCAAUUGUUUUUUGUUUUGUGUCCUUUUGUCUUACAAAAAUAUUAAAAAAUUUUUUGAUUUUGGUUAUUCAAAGUCUAAUAAAUUUAUCUUUACAACUCUUAGCAACGGAUAUCUCGGUUCCC
Molecule: unclassified non-coding RNA, 341 nt
Filed under: fungal sp.
Lineage: Eukaryota; Fungi
Description: partial internal transcribed spacer region
Rfam family: Eukaryotic small subunit ribosomal RNA (bases 1-46)
Source: RNAcentral